Molecule: transfer RNA, 72 nt
Filed under: Ictidomys tridecemlineatus (thirteen-lined ground squirrel)
Lineage: Eukaryota; Metazoa; Chordata; Mammalia; Rodentia; Sciuridae
Description: Spermophilus tridecemlineatus (thirteen-lined ground squirrel) tRNA
Rfam family: tRNA
About the family: Transfer RNA (tRNA) molecules are approximately 80 nucleotides in length. Their secondary structure includes four short double-helical elements and three loops (D, anti-codon, and T loops). Further hydrogen bonds mediate the characteristic L-shaped molecular structure. tRNAs have two regions of fundamental functional importance: the anti-codon, which is responsible for specific mRNA codon recognition, and the 3' end, to which the tRNAs corresponding amino acid is attached (by aminoacyl-tRNA synthetases). tRNAs cope with the degeneracy of the genetic code in two manners: having more than one tRNA (with a specific anti-codon) for a particular amino acid; and 'wobble' base-pairing, i.e. permitting non-standard base-pairing at the 3rd anti-codon position.
Source: Rfam by way of RNAcentral
GGAGAUGUAGCUCAGUGGUAGAGCACUUGCCUGGCAUGUGCAAGGCCCUGGGUUCCAUCCCCAGCAUCACAC